RNAcentral lists this ribosomal RNA (251 nucleotides) under uncultured Oscillospiraceae bacterium. Its description in RNAcentral is "partial 16S ribosomal RNA". It matches the Rfam family "Bacterial small subunit ribosomal RNA", at positions 90 to 339 of the family's 1533-position model. The record is from RNAcentral. Lineage: Bacteria; Bacillati; Bacillota; Clostridia; Eubacteriales; Oscillospiraceae.
GAUCAGCGGCGGACGGGUGAGUAACACGUGAGCAACCUGCCUUUCAGAGGGGGACAACAGUUGGAAACGACUGCUAAUACCGCAUAACAUUGCCGAACGGCAUCGUUUGGCAAUCAAAGGAGCAAUCCGCUGAAAGAUGGGCUCGCGUCUGAUUAGAUAGUUGGUGAGGUAACGGCCCACCAAGUCGACGAUCAGUAGCCGGACUGAGAGGUUGAUCGGCCACAUUGGGACUGAGACACGGCCCAGACUCC